This 402-nucleotide ribosomal RNA is filed under the name uncultured bacterium. RNAcentral's name for it is "bacterial SSU rRNA". It matches the Rfam family "Bacterial small subunit ribosomal RNA", at positions 355 to 774 of the family's 1533-position model. The record is from RNAcentral.
UCGGGAAUUUUGGGCAAUGGGCGAAAGCCUGACCCAGCAACGCCGCGUGAGGGAUGAAGUAUUUCGGUAUGUAAACCUCGAAAGAAUGGGAAGAAUAAAUGACGGUACCAUUUAUAAGCUCCGGCUAACUACGUGCCAGCAGCCGCGGUAAUACAGAGGUCCCAAGCGUUGUUCGGAUUCACUGGGCGUAAAGGGUGCGUAGGUGGUGGGGUAAGUCGGAUGUGAAAUCUCGGAGCUCAACUCCGAAAUGGCAUUGGAAACUACCCUGCUAGAGGGUCGGAGGGGGGACUGGAAUUCUCGGUGUAGCAGUGAAAUGCGUAGAUAUCGAGAGGAACACCAGUGGCGAAGGCGAGUCCCUGGACGACUCCUGACACUGAGGCACGAAAGCUAGGGGAGCAAACA